UUUAGUUAUUCGAGUAAAAACAAACGGACGUGCUGUGGCAUGAGUGCAGGUGGAGGCGCAGUACAAAAAAUACAGUACAAGAGGAUGUCUUCACAGAGUGGACGUCGCGUGAUGUCCUUGCAUCUUUUAAACAUCACCCAAUAACCUUUACUCUAAAAUAUGUCUUGUACAUCAACUCCUGUCAUUUGCUUUUGCUGUCUUUUUUAAUAUACUAUCCUGACAUGGAAGCAGGGCGGAUCACCGCGCAGGAGCUUGCCGGCAAGAUGGAGCUGGAGGCAGAGGGGAAGAGAGCCGGCUGUGUCAUCCUACCUGCCCACAAAGACAUUCGUGUUUCUGUGAACACAACAAAGCAUCCCUCUAGGCGCAGCAGAGAGCAUUAACCUACUGCGCUGUUGCGGGACACAAGGGCCGGGAGAGUAAAUGCUCAUUUCGGGACACGCAACCUGUCAAGUGGCGCUGCCGACAACAGGCCAAGACCUGGGCAUGACGUCAGUGCCAGCAUGUCGCCUCUCUCCUCCUGCCUGCUCACAUGCACAGACAAGAGCCUGCAAGAGCCCUUCCUCCCAUUGCCUGUAUUCUUCACAUUUAAUUCCGAUUUUGCACUAGAAUAUUUGCUUUAGAAUGACAUUAAAACAAUCCAGUAUUAUUCUGAACUGACGCGAUCGAGUAUUACAGCAUCACUCGUAUUAUUACAGUAUAAUACUAGAGUAUGAUUUGUACAUUCUAACACUAAACAAAUCAUCUGUUUAUGUUUUAGGAGGACUGAAAAAGACUUAGUAUCUACAUUUUCUUUUUAUUUUGUCAAUGAGAUACAACUAUGCUGACUAAUGAAAAGGUACUCCAGAUGUAUAAAUACUUCAACACACUGUAAAGACUGCCUAAAGAAUUGAAAACAUGACUAGAUUCCACAUAAUAAGUAAAUCAUAAGUAAGGCAUUUAGUCACUGCCAUAUAGAUUGUCACUCCAACAUAGUAAUAGAACUUUCUGUUAUUUAUUAUGAAAUGAUGAUUAUUUUUAUUACAGUAAAUCAUUGCAGUAGUCUGACAAUAAAUUCCUUAGCCCGAGUCUGCUAUGUAGCCUAAUUAAUGACAGCCGCACCUAAUUAUCCCAUUUCUUCAUGAAAGUGGCGCCACCCACUGGCAUUAAUGAACAUAACAAGCACUUCAUUAUCUUUGUGUGGUGAUUCAGAAGCAAGUUUUUAUGCAAAACAUUUUGCCAUAAUUUUAAAAUUUAAAAUGUUUAAAUCACAGUUGCUAACUGAAAAGGUGGGUCCUCAAACACAAGAAUCACUGUUCACCUUAGCUUGUGAGUAGAAUCUGUUUGCCGAAGAUAAUCUCUCUGUGCUUUAUAUACUUCUGACUUCACUGCAUACAGCCAAGGCAUCUCUGCCCAUUCGACUCACUAAGGCUAUACAGAAUGCAGGUCAAAAGAGAAUCCCAGAAUUUCUUCAAGAUCAUAUUUGUCAAAUCCUUUUCCUGUAUCGUACUAUGUCUUUUUGUAUUUCGUUUAUCACAUAUCUGACACUAAACACAAGUUUUUGUAUAAAACAAUUAUCAUCA
Lepisosteus oculatus (spotted gar) is the source of this 1559-nucleotide non-coding RNA. The record is from RefSeq and is a predicted model, not a curated record. Lineage: Eukaryota; Metazoa; Chordata; Actinopteri; Semionotiformes; Lepisosteidae.